GCGGUCAGGUUACUGCGGAGGGACAUUA
This 28-nucleotide ribosomal RNA is filed under the name Alternaria alternata. RNAcentral's name for it is "partial 18S ribosomal RNA". Lineage: Eukaryota; Fungi; Ascomycota; Dothideomycetes; Pleosporales; Pleosporaceae. The record is from RNAcentral.